RNAcentral lists this ribosomal RNA (253 nucleotides) under uncultured bacterium. RNAcentral's name for it is "partial 16S ribosomal RNA". It matches the Rfam family "Bacterial small subunit ribosomal RNA", at positions 524 to 776 of the family's 1533-position model. The record is from RNAcentral.
UACGUAGGUGGCAAGCGUUGUCCGGAUUUAUUGGGCGUAAAGCGCUCGCAGGCGGUCUUUUAAGUCUGAUGUGAAAUCUUGCGGCUCAACCGCAAGCGGUCAUUGGAAACUGGAGGACUUGAGUACAGAAGAGGAGAGUGGAAUUCCACGUGUAGCGGUGAAAUGCGUAGAGAUGUGGAGGAACACCAGUGGCGAAGGCGACUCUCUGGUCUGUAACUGACGCUGAGGAGCGAAAGCGUGGGGAGCGAACAGG